GACGAACGCUGGCGGCGUGCUUAACACAUGCAAGUCGAACGGUAAGGCCCUUCGGGGUACACGAGUGGCGAACGGGUGAGUAACACGUGGGUAAUCUGCCCUGCACAUCGGGAUAAGCCUGGGAACCUGGGUCUAAUACCGAAUAGGACCACAGGACACAUGUCCUGUGGUGGAAAGCUUUUGCGGUGUGGGAUGGGCCCGCGGCCUAUCAGCUUGUUGGUGGGGUGAUGGCCUACCAAGGCGACGACGGGUAGCCGGCCUGAGAGGGUGUCCGGCCACACUGGGACUGAGAUACGGCCCAGACUCCUACGGGAGGCAGCAGUGGGGAAUAUUGCACAAUGGGCGAAAGCCUGAUGCAGCGACGCCGCGUGGGGGAUGACGGCCUUCGGGUUGUAAACCUCUUUCACCAUCGACGAAGGUCCGGGUUUUCUCGGGCUGACGGUAGGUGGAGAAGAAGCACCGGCCAACUACGUG
This 474-nucleotide ribosomal RNA is filed under the name uncultured bacterium. Its description in RNAcentral is "partial 16S ribosomal RNA". It matches the Rfam family "Bacterial small subunit ribosomal RNA", at positions 28 to 507 of the family's 1533-position model. The record is from RNAcentral.